CCCUUAGAUGUCCGGGGCCGCACGCGCGCUACACUGAAGGAAUCAGCGUGGCUUCCUCCCUGACCCGAAAGGGUUGGGAAACCCGUUGAAUCUCCUUCGUGAUAGGGAUUGGGGCUUGAAAUUGUUCCCCAUGAACGAGGAAUUCCCAGUAAGCGCGAGUCAUAAGCUCGCGUUGAUUACGUCCCUGCCCUUUGUACACACCGCCCGUCGCUACUACCGAUUGAACGGUUUAGUGAGGGCCUCGGAUUGGUCUCGGCCCGCUCUUUACCGGGCGGCGCCGUUGGUCGAGAAGACGCUCGAACUUGAUCGUUUAGAGGAAGUAAAAGUCGUAACA
RNAcentral lists this ribosomal RNA (334 nucleotides) under uncultured eukaryote. Its description in RNAcentral is "partial 18S ribosomal RNA". It matches the Rfam family "Eukaryotic small subunit ribosomal RNA", at positions 1470 to 1796 of the family's 1831-position model. The record is from RNAcentral.